This 137-nucleotide microRNA precursor is filed under the name Medicago truncatula (barrel medic). RNAcentral's name for it is "miRNA gene37489". It matches the Rfam family "MIR1120/MIR1122 microRNA precursor family". The record is from RNAcentral. Lineage: Eukaryota; Viridiplantae; Streptophyta; Magnoliopsida; Fabales; Fabaceae.
AGACUACUCCCUCUGUCCCAAAAUGUAAGCAAAAAUAGGUCAACAUAAGUUGAUGUAUCUGGUACAAAUUUUGAACAAAAUACAUUAACUUUUGUUGACCAAUUUUUGCUUACAUUUUGGGUCAGAGGGAGUAUGUU